GGGCUCCGGGCAGCCGUGACCCUGCUGGAGUGCGGGGGGGACCUCCAGCCCCCCGGGGGGUCCCUGCGCCUCCUCUGCCGAGGGGCCGGGUUCAAUUUUGGCAGUUUCACCAUGUACUGGAUCCGCCAGAGACCCGGGCAGGCGCUGGAAUGGCUCGCAGGGAUCAGCAGUGGUUCCAGCACCUACUACGCACCGUCGGUCAAGGGCCGGUUCACGAUCUCCAGGGACAACGGGCAGAGCUCGGUGACGCUGACCAUGAACAACCUCAAGGACGAGGAUUCCGGAUCCUAUUUCUGUGCCAAAGACAGUGGUGCUUGUGGUGGUGCUUGUGCUGCUGCUUGUAUUGACCGUGCCGGUGGUGGCACCACCGCUGUCUGA
Melospiza melodia melodia is the source of this 378-nucleotide non-coding RNA. The record is from the annotation of a RefSeq genome assembly. NCBI's taxonomy places the organism in Eukaryota, Metazoa, Chordata, Aves, Passeriformes, Passerellidae.